GUUAUUAAAGGUGCAGGGCGGAUGCCUUGGCACUA
RNAcentral lists this ribosomal RNA (35 nucleotides) under Clostridioides difficile. RNAcentral's name for it is "partial 23S ribosomal RNA". Lineage: Bacteria; Bacillati; Bacillota; Clostridia; Peptostreptococcales; Peptostreptococcaceae. The record is from RNAcentral.